This 62-nucleotide transfer RNA is filed under the name Mesocricetus auratus (golden hamster). Lineage: Eukaryota; Metazoa; Chordata; Mammalia; Rodentia; Cricetidae. The record is from Rfam by way of RNAcentral.
GGUGGCUCAAUGGUUAAGAGCAUGGGCUUCUUCAGAGAACCUGGGUUCAAUUCCCAGCACCA